Molecule: long non-coding RNA, 553 nt
Organism: Orcinus orca (killer whale)
Lineage: Eukaryota; Metazoa; Chordata; Mammalia; Artiodactyla; Delphinidae
Exons: 2
Source: RefSeq, a predicted model, not a curated record
UUUUAAGAAAAUGGCACAUUUGGGAAGGAUAAUUUGGAAGAAGCUAUGAAAAUUUUAAGUGUACCUGCCCUUUGAUCCAGCAAUUCCAUUUCCAGGAAUCUGCUGGACAGAAAUUCUUGCCUGUGAGCCCGAAUAUAAGUCCAGCGACAUUCAUGAAAGCAUUGUGAAAAUUAGUAAACAGCCCAAACCCUCAGAGAAGGAGAUGUUUAGGAGUGAUGGCGUGGUGAUGCCUGGAGAAGCUGUGUUGGAAGGACCAAAGCUGAAGAGAAAAACACCUAGUGGUGUGGUGGGAAGAGGAUGUCCAUGGUUCCUGGCCGGGCUCUGCUGCUUACUGGACAGUACAGUGGAGCAGCUAAGAUCUCCCUUCAGGAUCAGCUGGAUCAGGGUUCCAACCCUGGGCUCAGUGCUUGUUGCUGUGUGACCUUGGGCAGUUGCUUAACCUCACUAAGCCUGUCUCUGUCUCUGGAAAAUGAGGGGAAACAGUAAUUUCUCUCUCAGGGUUGUAAAGAAUAAACCAAAAAAAAAAAAAAGAAUAAAUGAAAUAAAAAGAUAA